RNAcentral lists this ribosomal RNA (216 nucleotides) under Campeiostachys nutans. RNAcentral's name for it is "Elymus nutans partial small subunit ribosomal RNA". The stretch from base 40 to 216 matches the Rfam family "Eukaryotic small subunit ribosomal RNA", at positions 686 to 864 of the family's 1831-position model. Lineage: Eukaryota; Viridiplantae; Streptophyta; Magnoliopsida; Poales; Poaceae. The record is from RNAcentral.
GGGUUAGUAGGUUGGUCAUGCCUCUGGUAUGUACUGGUCUCACUGAUUCCUCCUUCCUGAUGAGCCGUAAUGUCAUUUAUUUGAUGUUAUGGGGAAUUAGGACUGUUACCUUGAAAAAAUUAGAGUGUUUAAAGCAAGCUUACGCUUGAAUACAUUAGCAUGGAAUAAUGAAAUAGGACAUCAGAUUCUAUUUUGUUGGUUUCUAGGAUCGAUGUA